Molecule: ribosomal RNA, 437 nt
Filed under: uncultured bacterium
Lineage: Bacteria
Description: partial 16S ribosomal RNA
Rfam family: Bacterial small subunit ribosomal RNA
Source: RNAcentral
GAUGAACGCUGGCGGCAUGCCUAACACAUGCAAGUCGGACGGGAAGAGGUGUUUCUUGCGGCGGUCGGGUGAGCAACGCGUAAGAACCUGACAUGGGGAGGGCAAAAAUAGCUGGAAACGGUAGCUAAUAGACCAUAGGCCGAGGAGCAAAAGGAGGAAUCCGCCCAAGGGGUGGCUAGCGUAUGAUUAGUUAGUUGGCGGGGCAAUGGCUGACCAGGGCGCAGGACAGUAGCUGGUCCGAGAGGAUGAUCCGCCACACUGGUACGGAGGCCCGGCGCAGGCACCUUCGGGAGACAGCCGAAAGCCUGAUGCAGCAAUGGGGGGUGACUUGACGAGGCAAUGCCACGGUAAAGCAGAGUGACCACGGGUCAUGAACUGCUUUUCUCGGAGAAGAAAAAAUGACGGUACCUGAUGAAUAAGCAUCGGCUAACUCCGUG